UGCGGCCACUGGAAUGCACGUAGAUUCAGUUUUGUGGCGCAUGCGUCACGUCCUCGCUGGCUCGCUUCUCGUUGUUGGACAGCCUGUUUGUCGACACGUGUCCCUCAUGUAACGUAACUAAUUUCUACAGUGGCAUGUUGUUUGUGCGGAUUUGACAUCUGAACGGGUCAGAAUAUCAACGAUGAUUCGGACGAAGAGCAGCAAAGAGGCCCAGUGUCCAGGACGAACCGGAGGCCAACCGCUGGUCAUGUGACUGUGGAUGACAGAAGGUUAGCUUUGUUCACCCCCUGUAUCAGGCCUUACAGCAUGGCUGUUGGUAACCAGGCUGUAAUCUGAGAUGCACAGUAAGCACAGAGGCUGCACAAUCAGAAGCAGAAGCAGAUUCACCAGCUCAGCACGCAGUAGGCAUCUCUCUACUUGAGAGACAAGUGGGUAACAAUAUUUGCAGGCCUGUGACACAGCUGGUAACAGAGGCAAACAUAUGUCUCUGAAUACAAAGAUGGCGAUAGCCUUGCUAUUUCAAUGAUCAUUCUCAAUGUACUGAUAUCUACGAGCAGGCUCAGCGUAUAUUCAGAUAUUUACAGUCACUGUGUAAAUAAUAGAGCACUUUUUUUUUUUUUAAUUCGCCAUGACUGUACUUAAUCAACACAGUGUUCAUGGGGGCCACCGUCGACAGCUCACUCCAUCACUCACAUUUUGUUUUCCAAGUCACAGUGAAAAUUGAUUUAGCCAGGAGUCGUGAAUUAAAAACCUUAGUUCUGUGCAGUCAAUUGACACACCGACAUGCCAGAUUUCCACAAAUGUUGUUUAUGUACAUGGGAGAAAGGGUAGAAAAAUUCCCCAGGUGUUUCUGAGAGAAAUUCUCAGAGAUAUUUCAGGACAAUUAAUGCCAAGCGAACUGGAGAAAAACUGUGAAUACUAAAGUCGUCACAAUAGCUUGGAGACAAUGGAAAUGACUGCAGAACAGCCGCCUGUGGUGAUGAGACAAGCCAAAUGUUCAACCGGAGAUGCCAAGAACAGGAUGAGACUGGUGAAAAAAACUCAGCUCGUAAACUGUCCUGCCAGGAUAAAUUACUGUACUGUCUUUGCAUGAGGAGAUGACUUCCAGAGUUCUUACUGUAAGACAGCAGAAAUAACACAGGGCAGGUUAUGACACAGAAGACGUGUGUGAUCCAGCGAUUCAUUUGGGAGGUUAUGAGCGAACGACCAAAAACAACAAACGUUCAUAAUGCAUUCAGGAUUUUUAUAGCACUCGAGGUGAAGCUCUUAAGUAUAAUUAUUUUCUGUACAGCCGUAUGCAAAUAUUACUAUUGAUCAACUUUAGACAUAUAAGUAAACAAAUGAGAUUAAAAAGUUAAUUGUUGCUAUUUUUGUUCAGUUCAUUACCUAAAGCCAUAGAAACAUCCAGUUGAAUUCUUAUAUUGCUGUGUUCUACUAAGUCAGGCAUGAAAGCUGCUUUCAUGUUUAUCGAUAAUUCAUAUGGUCUUAAAUGGCUUCCAAAUUGCUUAUUCACCCUGUGUGCUCCUACACCGUAUUAGUGAGCUAAAUGUAAUUGGCCAGUCUCUAGCUCCGCACCCCCAUUCUCUGCACAGCAGCUCAACUAAUGCGUCACCAACAAAGAGUUCUGUAAAAAUGCAUUACCCAGACAUGACCCGGCACAAGCCAUCACUGAUGCAGAGAAAGGGCUUGGUGUGAUCUGAAAGCACUCUGCUCUUUCAGUCAGGAUCAUGUCUAAUGUGUGUACAACAUUUGCAUGCAAUGUUUGCAUUAUUAAUUACAUAAUUAAUAUGAUGUUAAAUUAUUUAGCUUGUUCAUUACCAUUAUGAUUAUUGAACCGUUCCUCAACUGCAAAAAUUAAUUUUAUCGAAAGAA
Anguilla rostrata (American eel) is the source of this 1872-nucleotide long non-coding RNA. RefSeq lists it as uncharacterized. The transcript is spliced from 2 exons. The record is from RefSeq and is a predicted model, not a curated record. NCBI's taxonomy places the organism in Eukaryota, Metazoa, Chordata, Actinopteri, Anguilliformes, Anguillidae.